This 88-nucleotide transfer RNA is filed under the name Candidatus Promineofilum glycogenicum. RNAcentral's name for it is "tRNA-Ser". It matches the Rfam family "tRNA". Rfam says of the family: Transfer RNA (tRNA) molecules are approximately 80 nucleotides in length. Their secondary structure includes four short double-helical elements and three loops (D, anti-codon, and T loops). The record is from RNAcentral. Lineage: Bacteria; Bacillati; Chloroflexota; Ardenticatenia; Promineifilales (SeqCode); Promineifilaceae (SeqCode).
GGCGGGAUGGCAGAGCGGACGAUUGCAGCGGUCUUGAAAACCGCAGUGGGCGCAAGUUCACCGGGGUUCGAAUCCCUCUCCUCCGCCU